CGCACCUUGCGCCCCUUGGUAUUCCGAGGGGCAUGCCUGUUUGAGUGUCAUUAAAUUCUCAACCUUACUAGCUUUUGCGAAGUAAUGGCUUGGACUUGGGGGUCUUUUUGCUGGUUUCGAAAGAGAUCUGCUCCCCUUAAAUGUAUUAGCCGGUGCCCCGCGUGGACCAUCUAUUGGUGUGAUAAUUAUCUACGCCGUUAGAUGUCUGCUAUUAAAUGGGAUGUGCUGCUUCUAAUCGUCCUUCUGGACAAUUAUUGACCAUUUGACCUCAAAUCAGGUAGGACUACCCGCUGAACUUAA
Molecule: unclassified non-coding RNA, 300 nt
Filed under: Gymnopilus purpureosquamulosus
Lineage: Eukaryota; Fungi; Basidiomycota; Agaricomycetes; Agaricales; Galerinaceae
Description: partial contains 5.8S ribosomal RNA, internal transcribed spacer 2, and large subunit ribosomal RNA
Source: RNAcentral